CCCUACUGCUAUCGGGAUGGGACUAAGACAUGCUAGUUGUGCGCCUCCAAGCCAUGGUGAGGCGCGGCGCACAGCUCAGUAACACGUGGUUAACCUGCCCUUGGGACGGAAACACCCCCGGGAAACUGGGGCUAAUUUCCGAUAGGUGAAGGCUCCUGGAAUGGAUCUUCGCCUAAAGGGCGCUUAGGCCAUGCUUCUAGGCGCUGCCCAAGGAUGGGGCCGCGGCCGAUCAGGUUGUUGGUGAGGUAAUGGCUCACCAAGCCUUUAACCGGUUCGGGCCGUGGGAGCGGGAGCCCGGAGAUGGGCACUGAGACAAGGGCCCAGGCCCUACGGGGCGCAGCAGUCGCGAAAACUUCGCAAUACGCGAAGGCGUGACGGGGCUAUCCCGAGUGCCGUCCGCUGAGGAUGGCUUUUCCCCAGUGUAGAUAGCUGGGGGAAUAAGGAGAGGGCAAGUCUGGUGUCAGCCGCCGCGGUAAUACCAGCUCUCCGAGUGGUGGGGACGUUUAUUGGGCCUGAAGCAUCCGUAGCCAGCUGAGCAAGUCCCCAGUUAAAUCCAGCGAUUUAAUCGUUGGACUGCUGGGGAUACUGUCCGGCUAGGGGGUGGGAGAGGCCGACGGUAUUCCCGGGGUAGGGGUGAAAUCCUAUAAUCCCGGGAGGACCACCAGUGGCGAAGGCUGUUGGCUAGAACAUGCCCGACGGUGAGGGAUGAAAGCUGGGGGAGCGAACCGGAUUAGAUACCCGGGUAGUCCCAGCUGUAAACGAUGCAGGCUAGGUGUUAGGGCGGCCACGUGCCGCUCUAGUGCCGCAGGGAAGCUGUUAAGCCUGCCGCCUGGGGAGUACGGCCGCAAGGCUGAAACUUAAAGGAAUUGGCGGGGGAGCACCACAAGGGGUGAAGCUUGCGGUUU
This 905-nucleotide ribosomal RNA is filed under the name uncultured archaeon. Its description in RNAcentral is "bacterial SSU rRNA". It matches the Rfam family "Archaeal small subunit ribosomal RNA", at positions 21 to 903 of the family's 1478-position model. The record is from RNAcentral.